RNAcentral lists this ribosomal RNA (465 nucleotides) under uncultured bacterium. RNAcentral's name for it is "partial 16S ribosomal RNA". It matches the Rfam family "Bacterial small subunit ribosomal RNA", at positions 28 to 507 of the family's 1533-position model. The record is from RNAcentral.
GACGAACGCUGGCGGCGUGCUUAACACAUGCAAGUCGAACGGAAAGGCCCUGCUUGCAGGGUGCUCUAGUGUCGAACGGGUGAGUAACACGUGGGUGUUCUGCCCUCCACUUCGUGGUAUGCCUUGGGAACUGUGUGUAAUACCGCGUAUGAGCCCUUUUUCUUGUGAUGGUUGGAAAGUUUUUUCGGUGUAGUGUGAGCUCGCUGCCUAUUAGCUUGUUGGUGGGGUAAUUGCCUACCAAGGCGGCGAAGGGUAGCCGGCCUGAGAGGGUGGACGGCCACAAUGGGACUGAGAUAAGGCCCAGAAUCCUACGGGAGGGAGGAGUGGGGAAGAUUGCACAAUGGGCGGAAGCCUGAUGCAGGGAAGCCGCGGGGGGGAGGAAGGGCUUCGGGUUGUAAAAUCGUUUCGCUAGGGAAGAAGCUGUUAGUGACGGUAACUAGAUAAGAAGCACCGGCUAACUACGUG